CCAAGGAGUUUAGCGUGUACGCGAGUCAUUGGGUGUCAAAACCUAAAGGCGUAAUGAAAGUGAAGGGAACUCUGCUUUUCGAGGGAGGAUGGGUUAGGCUCCUUUAUCAGGGCCGGCCUCGCACUCCCGGGGCGUCUCUAUCUCAUUGCGAGAGGAGGCGCACCUAGAGCGUACACGCUGAUACCCGAAAGAUGGUGAACUAUGCCUGGCCAGGACGAAGCCAGGGGAAACCCUGGUGGAGGUCCGCAGCGAUUCUGACGUGCAAAUCGAUCGUCGGAGCUGGGUUUAGGGGCGAAAGACCAAUCGAACCAUCUAGUAGCUGGUUCCCUCUGAAGUUUCCCUCAGGAUAGCUUGCGCUCGGAUGUAACGAGUCUCAUCCGGUAGAGCGAAUGAUUAGAGGCCUUGGGGUCGAAACGACCUCAACCUAUUCUCAAACUCCAAAUAGAUGAGAACCCCGGCUUUCUUGAACUUUGUUUAUGAAGCCGGGGGCUCGGAUCAGAGUGCCAAGUGGGCCAAUUUU
Molecule: ribosomal RNA, 520 nt
Filed under: Tropidosteptes sp. WCW-2003
Lineage: Eukaryota; Metazoa; Arthropoda; Insecta; Hemiptera; Miridae
Description: eukaryotic LSU rRNA
Rfam family: Eukaryotic large subunit ribosomal RNA
Source: RNAcentral